Molecule: non-coding RNA, 253 nt
Filed under: uncultured bacterium
Lineage: Bacteria
Also listed under: 1 other name
Description: partial 16S ribosomal RNA
Rfam family: Bacterial small subunit ribosomal RNA
Source: RNAcentral
UACGUAGGGGGCAAGCGUUGUCCGGAAUUAUUGGGCGUAAAGGGCGCGUAGGCGGAUGUUUAAGUCCGGUGUGAAAGAUCAGGGCUCAACCCUGAGAGUGCAUCGGAAACUGGGCAUCUUGAGGACAGGAGAGGAAAGUGGAAUUCCUAGUGUAGCGGUGAAAUGCGUAGAUAUUAGGAGGAACACCAGUGGCGAAGGCGACUUUCUGGACUGUAACUGACGCUGAGGCGCGAAAGCGUGGGGAGCAAACAGG